GCGGCGCCCAGGGCGGACUGCGGGUGGGCGCCGGUGCCGCGCGGAUCAAACUUUACAACUCGGAGAGUGAGUUAUAAAGCAGAGGCCGCACUGAGGAUGCGGUUGUCCGUUCCUCCCAUGGGGAUGCUGCUGGCUGCGCCCGCCUCAGGCUUGCAUGGGCUGUCUCUGCCUGGCCUCGCACUCCUCCUGGCAUGGGAGCAAAAAGGGACAGGCGGAGCGCUUACUGGUUGUGGAUGGGAGCUGCUGUGGCUGAAGCUGGAGAGGCUAGAGAAAGGUAAAGCUGCUGAAGAAUAAAAUAAAGGGGGUCCAGCCAGCAGCUGCAGACAGGAGACAGCCUGCCUCUCCAGGUGGAUGACAGUCAAGUGACCAGAGCUACAGAGCAGGAAGGGAGAGGGAGAGACAGACAGAUGUGUCCGAACUGUCAAAUUCUCCCAGCAGCUCCAAGAGCGGGAGGUACAGUGAGUCCUGGACCCCUGGGGCUGUGUCACCCCUCUUCUGCAUCCCAGUCCCUCCCUGCCCCCACCUUUUCUUUCUCUCACUGCUUUAAUUUUUUUGUUUUUUUCUUCCUGUACCUCUCCCUCUCUUGUUCUCUAAGUCCCCCUCUUUCUCUGUUGUUCUGCCUCUCUGUUUUAUUUUUCUCUCUGCACUUCUGUCCUGUCCCAUCGCUCUUUUUAUUCAUCCUCUGUCUCUGCCCUGCAGCCCAUCACUAAUUUGUCUUUCUCCAUCUAUCUGUCUGUCUUCCUAUCCCAAUCUUGUUAAUUCCUCCCUGUCUGUCCUUUAGCCCUUCACAAUUCCCACCGCUCUCACCUGUCUGGCGCUGUGUCUCUAUUUUUAAAUUCCUCUCUCCCUGCCCUGUAUUCUAGAUAUACUUUUACUUUCUUAGAUUCUUUUAUUCCAAGUCCCUGUCCCUGUGUUUUAACUUCUUCCCUCACUGUCCCAUAGCCCAUUGUUGUCUUUAUUAGUCUCUCUGUCUGGUUCCCUGUCCCUAUUCUUUAUUUUCCCUCUCUCUCCCCUUUAGAUCAUCAGUGUUUUUGAUAUUUCUCAGUCUCUCUCAUCUACCUCACUGUCCCCUUUUUUAAUUCUUCCU
Haliaeetus leucocephalus (bald eagle) is the source of this 1087-nucleotide long non-coding RNA. RefSeq lists it as uncharacterized. The transcript has 3 exons. The record is from RefSeq and is a predicted model, not a curated record. Lineage: Eukaryota; Metazoa; Chordata; Aves; Accipitriformes; Accipitridae.